UAGUUGAACCUUGGGCCUGGCUGGCCGGUCCGCCUCACCGCGUGCACUGGUUCGGCCGGGCUUUUCCCUCUGGGGAGCCCUAUGCCCUUCACUGGGUGUAGUGGGGAACCAGGACUUUUACUGUGAAAAAAUUAGAGUGUUCAAAGCAGGCCUAUGCUCGAAUACAUCAGCAUGGAAUAAUAGAAUAGGACGUGUGGUUCUAUUUUGUUGGUUUCUAGGACCGCCGUAAUGAUUAAUAGGGACAGUCGGGGGCAUCAGUAUUCAAUUGUCAGAGGUGAAAUUCUUGGAUUUAUUGAAGACUAACUACUGCGAAAGCAUUUGCCAAGGAUGUUUUCAUUAAUCAGGAACGAAAGUUAGGGGAUCGAAGACGAUCAGAUACCGUCGUAGUCUUAACCAUAAACUAUGCCGACUAGGGAUCGGACGAUGUUAUUUUUUGACUCGUUCGGCACCUUACGAGAAAUCAAAGUUUUUGGGUUCUGGGGGGAGUAUGGUCGCAAGGCUGAAACUUAAA
This 511-nucleotide ribosomal RNA is filed under the name Xylaria sp. Its description in RNAcentral is "SSU rRNA". It matches the Rfam family "Eukaryotic small subunit ribosomal RNA", at positions 631 to 1148 of the family's 1831-position model. Lineage: Eukaryota; Fungi; Ascomycota; Sordariomycetes; Xylariales; Xylariaceae. The record is from RNAcentral.